This 835-nucleotide long non-coding RNA is filed under the name Brachypodium distachyon (stiff brome). Its description in RNAcentral is "long non-coding RNA (BDIS_LNC005626)". Lineage: Eukaryota; Viridiplantae; Streptophyta; Magnoliopsida; Poales; Poaceae. The record is from RNAcentral.
CGGACGGCGACGGGCGGAGCUCCGGGCGCGGCUUUGGCAUGGGGUCGGGGACGGCACGGCCAACGCAUCAAGAGGUCACGAAACCUUUUCACAAAGGUAGGAUCACAUGAGUCUACCGGUGAAAGGAAUCGAAGAACGGAGGUUCGAGGUGGUCUCACCGGCAACAAUGGUGGCGGUGACCGGCGGAGGAAGACGUUGACGUAGCCGGCUGUACCGAGGUUUUGAGGGCAAACUUUCUACAUGGGAAUGGGAGAGGAGAGGCAAAGGCUCAAAGUGACGUGCGUGGAAUCCUUUUAUAGUGGCCGAGGAGGGAGAUCGGGCGCGGGAUGUCGACGGUCGGCAUUCGGGGCACCUCUUUUGGAAACUGCGAUUAUGAGAGGAAACUUCAAAUUGAUUUCCUGAAUGGGUUCCCGGGAUGGUGAGGAUUGAUGGGGUGGUUUCCUGUCGGAGAGAGACGCGCGGGAAGGAAAGUAAUCGAAGGAAGAAAAUAUGGAAGGAGAGAGUUUCCUUACGUGCAGAGGAGGAGAACGAGCACGAGCUCGUGCUCGUGGCUGGGGCGCUCGGUGAAGAUGGGCCGGCCCAGUUUGGGUCGGUCCAUUCUCUUUUUUUCUUUUUUUCUUUUUUUUUCCAUUUCUGUUUUUAUUAAUAACUUUUGAUUCCUAAGUCCAAAUAAGUCCAAAUAAACUCCAGUAAAUUUGUAAAUUCAAAUCCUCCAAAAUGUGAGCUUUUGGGACUUGAAUCCUUUCAAAAUAAAAUAAGUAAAAAUACUUUUGCUUAUAUAAAUGUCAUUAGAGCUUUAUAAGUAAUACAUAAAAUAGGUUUUGAAAUCAUUAUG